Molecule: ribosomal RNA, 2903 nt
Filed under: Escherichia marmotae
Lineage: Bacteria; Pseudomonadati; Pseudomonadota; Gammaproteobacteria; Enterobacterales; Enterobacteriaceae
Description: 23S ribosomal RNA
Rfam family: Bacterial large subunit ribosomal RNA
Source: RNAcentral
UUAAGCGACUAAGCGUACACGGUGGAUGCCCUGGCAGUCAGAGGCGAUGAAGGACGUGCUAAUCUGCGAUAAGCGUCGGUAAGGUGAUAUGAACCGUUAUAACCGGCGAUUUCCGAAUGGGGAAACCCAGUGUGAUUCGUCACACUAUCAUUAACUGAAUCCAUAGGUUAAUGAGGCGAACCGGGGGAACUGAAACAUCUAAGUACCCCGAGGAAAAGAAAUCAACCGAGAUUCCCCCAGUAGCGGCGAGCGAACGGGGAGGAGCCCAGAGCCUGAAUCAGUAUGUGUGUUAGUGGAAGCGUCUGGAAAGGCGUGCGAUACAGGGUGACAGCCCCGUACACAAAAAUGCACAUGCUGUGAGCUCGAUGAGUAGGGCGGGACACGUGGUAUCCUGUCUGAAUAUGGGGGGACCAUCCUCCAAGGCUAAAUACUCCUGACUGACCGAUAGUGAACCAGUACCGUGAGGGAAAGGCGAAAAGAACCCCGGCGAGGGGAGUGAAAAAGAACCUGAAACCGUGUACGUACAAGCAGUGGGAGCCUCUUUAAUGGGGUGACUGCGUACCUUUUGUAUAAUGGGUCAGCGACUUAUAUUCUGUAGCAAGGUUAACCGAAUAGGGGAGCCGAAGGGAAACCGAGUCUUAACUGGGCGUUAAGUUGCAGGGUAUAGACCCGAAACCCGGUGAUCUAGCCAUGGGCAGGUUGAAGGUUGGGUAACACUAACUGGAGGACCGAACCGACUAAUGUUGAAAAAUUAGCGGAUGACUUGUGGCUGGGGGUGAAAGGCCAAUCAAACCGGGAGAUAGCUGGUUCUCCCCGAAAGCUAUUUAGGUAGCGCCUCGUGAAUUCAUCUCCGGGGGUAGAGCACUGUUUCGGCAAGGGGGUCAUCCCGACUUACCAACCCGAUGCAAACUGCGAAUACCGGAGAAUGUUAUCACGGGAGACACACGGCGGGUGCUAACGUCCGUCGUGAAGAGGGAAACAACCCAGACCGCCAGCUAAGGUCCCAAAGUCAUGGUUAAGUGGGAAACGAUGUGGGAAGGCCCAGACAGCCAGGAUGUUGGCUUAGAAGCAGCCAUCAUUUAAAGAAAGCGUAAUAGCUCACUGGUCGAGUCGGCCUGCGCGGAAGAUGUAACGGGGCUAAACCAUGCACCGAAGUUGCGGCAGCGACACUAUGUGUUGUUGGGUAGGGGAGCGUUCUGUAAGCCGUUGAAGGUGUGCUGUGAGGCAUGCUGGAGGUAUCAGAAGUGCGAAUGCUGACAUAAGUAACGAUAAAGCGGGUGAAAAGCCCGCUCGCCGGAAGACCAAGGGUUCCUGUCCAACGUUAAUCGGGGCAGGGUGAGUCGACCCCUAAGGCGAGGCCGAAAGGCGUAGUCGAUGGGAAACAGGUUAAUAUUCCUGUACUUGGUGUUACUGCGAAGGGGGGACGGAGAAGGCUAUGUUGGCCGGGCGACGGUUGUCCCGGUUUAAGCGUGUAGGCUGAUUUUCCAGGCAAAUCCGGAGAAUCAAGGCUGAGGCGUGAUGACGAGGCACUACGGUGCUGAAGCAACAAAUGCCCUGCUUCCAGGAAAAGCCUCUAAGCAUCAGGUAACAUCAAAUCGUACCCCAAACCGACACAGGUGGUCAGGUAGAGAAUACCAAGGCGCUUGAGAGAACUCGGGUGAAGGAACUAGGCAAAAUGGUGCCGUAACUUCGGGAGAAGGCACGCUGAUAUGUAGGUGAAGCGACUUGCUCGUGGAGCUGAAAUCAGUCGAAGAUACCAGCUGGCUGCAACUGUUUAUUAAAAACACAGCACUGUGCAAACACGAAAGUGGACGUAUACGGUGUGACGCCUGCCCGGUGCCGGAAGGUUAAUUGAUGGGGUCAGCCGCAAGGCGAAGCUCUUGAUCGAAGCCCCGGUAAACGGCGGCCGUAACUAUAACGGUCCUAAGGUAGCGAAAUUCCUUGUCGGGUAAGUUCCGACCUGCACGAAUGGCGUAAUGAUGGCCAGGCUGUCUCCACCCGAGACUCAGUGAAAUUGAACUCGCUGUGAAGAUGCAGUGUACCCGCGGCAAGACGGAAAGACCCCGUGAACCUUUACUAUAGCUUGACACUGAACAUUGAGCCUUGAUGUGUAGGAUAGGUGGGAGGCUUUGAAGUGUGGACGCCAGUCUGCAUGGAGCCGACCUUGAAAUACCACCCUUUAAUGUUUGAUGUUCUAACGUGGACCCGUGAUCCGGGUUGCGGACAGUGUCUGGUGGGUAGUUUGACUGGGGCGGUCUCCUCCUAAAGAGUAACGGAGGAGCACGAAGGUUGGCUAAUCCUGGUCGGACAUCAGGAGGUUAGUGCAAUGGCAUAAGCCAGCUUGACUGCGAGCGUGACGGCGCGAGCAGGUGCGAAAGCAGGUCAUAGUGAUCCGGUGGUUCUGAAUGGAAGGGCCAUCGCUCAACGGAUAAAAGGUACUCCGGGGAUAACAGGCUGAUACCGCCCAAGAGUUCAUAUCGACGGCGGUGUUUGGCACCUCGAUGUCGGCUCAUCACAUCCUGGGGCUGAAGUAGGUCCCAAGGGUAUGGCUGUUCGCCAUUUAAAGUGGUACGCGAGCUGGGUUUAGAACGUCGUGAGACAGUUCGGUCCCUAUCUGCCGUGGGCGCUGGAGAACUGAGGGGGGCUGCUCCUAGUACGAGAGGACCGGAGUGGACGCAUCACUGGUGUUCGGGUUGUCAUGCCAAUGGCACUGCCCGGUAGCUAAAUGCGGAAGAGAUAAGUGCUGAAAGCAUCUAAGCACGAAACUUGCCCCGAGAUGAGUUCUCCCUGAGACUUUAAGUCUCCUGAAGGAACGUUGAAGACGACGACGUUGAUAGGCCGGGUGUGUAAGCGCAGCGAUGCGUUGAGCUAACCGGUACUAAUGAACCGUGAGGCUUAACCUU